This 232-nucleotide ribosomal RNA is filed under the name uncultured bacterium. RNAcentral describes it as "partial 16S ribosomal RNA". It matches the Rfam family "Bacterial small subunit ribosomal RNA", at positions 103 to 334 of the family's 1533-position model. The record is from RNAcentral.
CGGGUAGCGGAACACGUACGCAACCUUCCUUUAACUGGAGAAUAGCCCCUCGAAAGAGGGAUUAAUACUUCGUAACAUAUUGAUAAGGCAUCUUAUUAAUAUUAUAGCUCCGGCGGUUAAAGAUGGGCGUGCGCCUGAUUAGAUAGUUGGCGGGGUAACGGCCCACCAAGUCAGCGAUCAGUAACUGGUGUGAGAGCACGACCAGUCACACGGGCACUGAGACACGGGCCCG